This is a non-coding RNA of Podarcis lilfordi (Lilford's wall lizard), 295 nucleotides long. The record is from the annotation of a GenBank genome assembly. NCBI's taxonomy places the organism in Eukaryota, Metazoa, Chordata, Lepidosauria, Squamata, Lacertidae.
GCUUGGAUAGCUCACUUGGUUAGAGUGUGGUGCUGAUAAUUCAAGACACAAGGGAGAAACAUGCUAAGAGGAAGGCAGGUUUGGCAAAUCCACACCGUGAUCAACUCCUGCCCGGAAACCAAUGUCCCCACUGUGGAAGGAUGUGUGGUUCCAGAAUUGGCCUCCACAGUCACUUACGGACUCAUUGUUAAAACCGUGUUUCUGGAAGACAAUCUUACUCGGCUAUAAGUGAUCGCCAAAGAAGAAGAAGGUGCUGAUAAUGCCAAGGUUGCAGGUUCAAUCCCUGUAUGGGACA